RNAcentral lists this ribosomal RNA (892 nucleotides) under uncultured bacterium. Its description in RNAcentral is "bacterial SSU rRNA". It matches the Rfam family "Bacterial small subunit ribosomal RNA", at positions 505 to 1398 of the family's 1533-position model. The record is from RNAcentral.
GUGCCAGCAGCCGCGGUAAUACGAAGGGACCUAGCGUAGUUCGGAAUUACUGGGCUUAAAGAGCUCGUAGGUGGUUAAGAAAGUUGGUGGUGAAAGCCCAAGGCUUAACCUUGGAACUGCCACCAAAACUUUUUGACUAGAGUAUGAUAGAGGUAAGUGGAAUUUCUAGUGUAGAGGUGAAAUUCGUAGAUAUUAGAAAGAACACCAAUUGCGAAGGCAACUUUCUGGAUCAUUACUGACACUGAGGAGCGAAAGCAUGGGUAGCGAAGAGGAUUAGAUACCCUCGUAGUCCAUGCCGUAAACGAUGUGUGCUAGACGUUGGGAAUUUAGUUCUCAGUGUCGCAGCGAAAGCGUUAAGCACACCGCCUGGGGAGUACGACCGCAAGGUUAAAACUCAAAUGAAUUGACGGGGACCCGCACAAGCAGUGGAGCAUGUGGUUUAAUUCGAAGAUACGCGCAGAACCUUACCAACACUUGACAUGUUCGUCGCGAACCUAAGAGAUUAGGUUCUUCAUUUAGUUGGACGAAACACAGGUGCUGCAUGGCUGUCGUCAGCUCGUGUCGUGAGAUGUUGGGUUAAGUCCCGCAACGAGCGCAACCCUUACUUUUAGUUGCCACCAUUUAGUUGAGCACUCUAAAAGAACUGCCAGUGAUAAGCUGGAGGAAGGCGGGGAUGACGUCAAGUCCUCAUGGCCCUUACGUGUUGGGCUACACACGUGCUACAAUGGCACUUACAAUGAGAUGCAAAGAGGCAACUCCUAGCAAAUCUCAAAAAGGUGUCUCAGUUCGGAUUGUACUCUGCNACUCGAGUACAUGAAGCUGGAAUUGCUAGUAAUCGCGGAUCAGCGCGCCGCGGUGAAUACGUUCCCGGGUCUUGCACACACCGCCCGUC